Molecule: transfer RNA, 88 nt
Organism: Beauveria bassiana D1-5
Lineage: Eukaryota; Fungi; Ascomycota; Sordariomycetes; Hypocreales; Cordycipitaceae
Rfam family: tRNA
About the family: Transfer RNA (tRNA) molecules are approximately 80 nucleotides in length.
Source: Rfam
ACCCGGUUAGCUCAAUUGGUUAGAGCGUUGGACUUUUACGGUAUCCCCUGAUAUCCAAAGGCUACGAGUUCGACCCUCGUACUGGGUG